GGGGGGGGGCAGUCAUUACAAUCUCACAGACUGUUCUGUGUGCAAGAUUGAAAUGAAGUCCAAUUUUGAUUCAGUGUGGGCGAUGUGCUUUACAAACCUUCCAAAGAAUAAGCACUCUGCCAUCUCCCAGGCACGUCAACAAGCCCAGCCUCUCCCCAUCCCCCCCACUGCCACCACCACGGUUUAGUUUUAAUUGUGUGCUUGGUGUGUCAAACUUCAAUUUGUCACCGUUGCCCUCUCCCCUCAGGCAAGAGCACAGUGUGCUUCGCCAAGAUAGGUGCGGCUCAUAAAUGGCUCUGACGUAAUCACGAUUAUCUUUUCUCAAACGCUGCAGCUCCAGACGUGGGUGAGCAAUUUGGGAGGACUAUGGAAGUAAAUUUCUCCUUCGUUGUUUAAUUUCGAGGUGGUAAAUGCUUCAGAUUUACAACAAAACAUUGCAGUUUUGCAGACACCUCUUUCCCGUUUCAAAGAGGAAGUGUUAGCAAGUGCCACAGCUGCACCUGUUUUCCGGGGACAGACCCUCUUUCUAAUCCUGUUCCUUUGUAAAUUCAUGUUCCUACUUUGUCCUUCGGGGAGCACCUUGUUAAAAUUCUGGUAAUGCUGAGUUGCUAGCCUAGUCCUUCUGUGGGGUCAUUGUCACCGUAUUGGCUUUCUAGAAGCUGAUUCUCUGAAUGGCUGGGUGUCUGGUGCACAGGUAGGAACACUUGUCUGCCAUUAGGAAUGGGCAAAUCUGUCAGCUUUGGUUCCUCUCUCACUUUUCCCAUUCUGAAGUUCAAGGUGUUACUAUUAGUAUAGAAAGCCCUCAAUGGUCUUUUAAUGUGGCCGCGUUGCAACUUUGCUUAAUGUACACCACUUUGCAAGCUUUUUGCCCCAGUAUAGUGCAGUCUGCUUGUUAUUUUCACCAAUGCAUGAUUUUUAUGCAUAUCUUCCCCUAAAAUAGGCAUUUUUUUCAGCAUAUUAUUUGGCUGGAGAACUGCACUGUAAAAUUUGGAGAAGUGUGAAUUUCAUGUUAUUGUUUGAGAAAAGGUGAAUUAGGUACAUUUGUUUUUAAAUGAAAACUGAAACUAAUUUCUGCUCCAUCCCUGCUGCCAUCACACAUGCUGGCAUUGAUGGGCUGGAGGCUGAACAGUUUAUAACCUCUCGUAGGACAAGGAUAUGGUUUUGGCCCACACCUAUAUGGACAUGCCCAGGCUAUGAGAUCAGCUGCAGAUCCUUGUUCAUGGUUCUGCCAUUAAAAUCCAGCACACUGGCAGGCACAAGAGAGGGCGGCUCUAUCCUUGUGGAACUCCCUCCCACCAGAUGUGUGUUUUGAUUUCCUUUCUGGUAAUCUUCAAAUGGGCCUUAAAAUACCUGAUGAUUCCAACCCACUUUUAACUGAAUGCAGAUGCUGUUUUAUUAUUUUAACUACAGGUGACUGGGGGGAAUAAAUAAAUGGAGAGCAGGGAAAUCCCACUCACCAUUUGGAUAUUUCCCACCAACCCACUCAUGCACAGUUGCAAUUGCAGGCUUACCCAGUUUUGGGCAGCAGGAGCAGGAUGGCUCUGGCUCCUCCCUUACCCAGCUUUGGCAAGAUGGUGUGAGGGCUCUCUACCUUGUAGGGGGACACAGUUCUGGGAGUUCAUGGCAUUACGUGGUUUUGCAUUUACACCUGGACACCUGGAACCAAACCCUCAUGUAAAAUGGGAGCUACCUUUAUAUGGUUUUAUGAUAGACGGCUAAUAUUCUUAUGUUGUUCUUUGUUUAAUCAUACACUGCUUACUUGUCAACACUACUUAUUUGCUCAAUGUUGGCUUAUUGCAGGUGGAAAGUUAACUUACAAAGGGAAGGUGUCUUACACCAAGGGGGCCAUUGGUCCAUGUACUGUAGUACUGCCUACACUGACUGUAAGCAACUCUCAGACAGGGUCUCUCUCAGCCCUACUUGGUGAGGCCAGGGAUUGAACCUGGGACCUUCUGCAAUCACAGCAGGUACUACUGAACUAUAACCCUUCCCUGCAACAUCUCAAGGUGAUCUUGGAUUCCAAUGGUGAGGGAGUAUGGGCUCUCUAUAGGGUCACAGAUGUUUGUUUAUCAUAAUUGCAGUGUUUUCUGCAUCUGAUUUUUCUUCUUUUCUCUUCCUUUAAUCUCUGCCACAGUCAUCCUGGAGUGUCUGAAUACUGUCUUGGCACGCUCUCAUCAGUAUUCAAUUUAAAGAAACUUGCAUGCAUGGGUGAAUGGUUUGGAUUUGGGUUUUUAAAAUAACUCUAGCAUGGCCACCUGAAGUCCUAAAAAUAGAUUCUACGGUCUGCUGUCGGUUGAGGAAUUUUAGUAAGUAGAAAUGCAAUUAAUAUGUCACAGCUCUGAGCAGAGAGUUAUUUGCUUCCAGCUUCUUUGAAAAGCAAGACUGCUUUGUCAGAGAACCCACAGAAAGCGACAGCUGGCUGGGGUUAUGUAAUAAUGCCCCUCUCAUUAUCUGGAAAACAGCAAGCUAUGAACUUUUUGCAAGGACCAAAAAGAAAGGAAUCUGAUCCCCAUUUGAAAUGCUAAUGAGCUUUGGAGAGUGAAAAUUUGCAAUUUGAGGAAAGAUGGCAAGGAGCCUUGGAAAGGUCCAAAGACAUUGGAUCUCAGGAGCAGAGUGAUGUAGCAGCUAAAUUUCAGAUGAAGAAGCCCCCUCCCCCAAAAUACAUUCUGAUCAAAAUAUAACAGAAUUAUAAAACCAUAGAACUGUGGAGUUGGAAGAGAUCCUGAGGGUCAUCCAGUCCAAUCCCUGCAAUGCAGGAAUCUCAACUAGAUCGUACAUGACAGAUGACCAUCCAACCUCUGCUUGAAUACUUCCAAGGAAGGAGAGCCCACAACCUCCUGAGAGAGUCCAUUCUACUGUCAAACAGCUAGCUCUUACUGUCAGAAAACUCUUCCUGAUGUUUAGCUGGAAUCUCCUUUCCCGUAACCUGAAUCCACUUCAGGUCCUGGCCUCUAGAGCAGGAAAAUACAAGCUUGCUCUAUUUUCCAUGUGAUAGCCCUUUAGAUAUUUGAAGAUGGCUAUCAUGUUUCCUCUCCAUCACCUAUUGGGUGAAUCACCCAAUUCCCUUAACCAGGUCCAUGCCUGGUUUGCCUGAGGCCUGGAGCAAGAAUCCUCAGUUGGCUGGGAGGCCUGGGGUGGCAUGACAACAUAAGUCUGGCAGACCCCUGGAGGGGCUUCCCAGACAGCUUAGCCCUCCGAGGCCUGGGGCAAGUAUAACAGGCUCCCCCCCCCCCCACUGCAUGAGCCUGCCAUACCCAUUCUCAUAUGGCUUGGUUUCCCGACCCUUGAUCAUCUUGGUCACCCUCCUCUGCACACACUCCAGCUUGUCAACAUCCUUAUUAAAUUGUGGUGCCUAGAACUGGACACAGGACUCCAGGUGUGGUCUGACCAAGACAGAACAGAGUGGGAUUAUGAUUUCCCUUGAUUGAGACAUACUCCUCCCAUGCUUGAAUUUUAGUUUACAAACCCAAAGAGGAGAUGAUAUUCUUUGCCAUGUUUCUUCUUGCACACACAAACAAAUAUUUCAUUACUAAUUUUUUUCCUCUUCCCCAUCCCUGCCUCCUUUAGAAGUGGAGCAUGUUUUGUCCCGUUUAUUUCUAAAUGAAAGUAACACUUGACAAUCAACCUCUCGGGAGCCUUCUCGGCGCCCAAUUCAUAAUCUGUGAAUCGGAAGCCUACUGUUUUCUUAAGUGGAGGGAAAACAGCAGAAUAAAGGCCUGCUCAACAACUCUCUGCCAUUUUGCAGUUAAGUACACUUUGAAGAGAAUGAAAGAGAUGCAUUGACUUGGGAAUAAUGUUCUCUGUCUU
Molecule: non-coding RNA, 3807 nt
Organism: Podarcis lilfordi (Lilford's wall lizard)
Lineage: Eukaryota; Metazoa; Chordata; Lepidosauria; Squamata; Lacertidae
Source: the annotation of a GenBank genome assembly